RNAcentral lists this ribosomal RNA (322 nucleotides) under uncultured eukaryote. Its description in RNAcentral is "partial 18S ribosomal RNA". It matches the Rfam family "Eukaryotic small subunit ribosomal RNA", at positions 1470 to 1796 of the family's 1831-position model. The record is from RNAcentral.
CCCUUAGAUGUUCUGGGCCGCACGCGUGCUACACUGAGUGGAUCAGCGGGUCAGGUUGCGCGAAAGCGUUUCCUAAUCUUUAAAUCCGCUCGUGAUGGGGAUUGACGGUUGCAAUUUUCUGUCAUGAACGAGGAAUACCUUGUAAGCGCGGGUCAUCAUCCCGCGCUGAAUACGUCCCUGCCCUUUGUACACACCGCCCGUCGCACCUACCGAUUGGAUGGUCCGGUGAAGCCUCGGGAUUGUGGUUCUUGCCGCUUUGUUGUGGCGUGACCGCGAGAACUUGUCUAAACCUUAUCAUCUAGAGGAAGGUGAAGUCGUAACA